This 462-nucleotide ribosomal RNA is filed under the name uncultured bacterium. RNAcentral's name for it is "partial 16S ribosomal RNA". It matches the Rfam family "Bacterial small subunit ribosomal RNA", at positions 28 to 506 of the family's 1533-position model. The record is from RNAcentral.
GACGAACGCUGGCGGCGUGCUUAACACAUGCAAGUCGAACGGUGAACCUCUUCGGAGGGGAUCAGUGGCGAACGGGUGAGUAACACGUGGGCAACCUGCCCCCGACUCUGGGAUAACUCCAAGAAAUUGGGGCUAAUACCGGAUGUUCACCGCUUCCCUCAUGGGUGGUGGUGGAAAGGGUUUCCGGCUGGGGAUGGGCCCGCGGCCUAUCAGCUUGUUGGUUGGGUAGUGGCCUACCAAGGCGACGACGGGUAGCCGGCCUGCGAGGGUGACCGGCCACACUGGGAAUGAGACACGGCCCAGACUCAUACGGGAGGCAGCAGUGGGGAAUAUUGCGCAAUGGGCGGAAGCCGGACGCAGCGACGCCGCGUGGGGGAUGACGGCCUUCGGGUUGUAAAACUUUUUCAGCAGGGACGAAGCGCAAGUGACGGUACCUGCAGAAGAAGCACCGGCCAACUACGU